Molecule: non-coding RNA, 83 nt
Filed under: Mus musculus (house mouse)
Lineage: Eukaryota; Metazoa; Chordata; Mammalia; Rodentia; Muridae
Also listed under: 1 other name
Source: miRBase by way of RNAcentral
ACCCAGGUGAGUGCUUGGCACCUGGUAAGCACUCAGUAAGUAUUUGAUGAGUGCCUACUGUGUGCCAAGACAUUGUGCUGAGG